GGCCGGAGGCGGAUGGGUGCCGGGAGCGUUUCGGCGGCGGCGGCGGCGGCCCGGGAUGGCGGAGCGCUUGGAUCACUUAAAACAAUACUACCGAGCAAGAUUCUGUGGGCAAGGAGGAAAGAAGAUCAAUAUACAGCCUGGUGAAAAUGUUCUGAAAUACAUACAGGAUUGUUUUGAAUGUGAUGAUACUGAUGUCAUAGUAAGCUCUCCAGAAGCAACCUGUUUCUCAACUCCUCUUGUCAGAAACCAGGAGAGGACUUCAACACAGAGCCCUAGGCCAGAUGCAGGGUUAACUAACGCGGCAGCAAAUAGAGCCUGUCUUUCCACUGUGUCCUUACCUGCAACGCCAGUGAAGACAGUCAGGAGCAAAGGGGAGCCGUGUGUGUUCUACCCGGAGCCUGGAAGAAACAGUCACAUAGCUGGUUCUGUCAAAACAGACAAUCCUGUGCCAAGAGGAGAAACACAGGUGUUAACAUUCAAAGAUGUUGAAGUACUAUGUGAAAGUCCUGCCAAGUUAUCAGAUCCUGAGGAUGAUCAUGGAGUUGUGGGAUCACCUCUUCUUGUGGAGGAAGCAAAGUCUUCUCCUGUACAAACGCAUACGGACUCAAUCGCACCAUCAUCACCUCCUCCUGUCAAAGAUCGAAACGUAGAAAUAGAAAGCGAUUGUGAGUUUUUAAUUGAUGAAUCAGAUUGUCUGUCUUUUAAGUCUUGGUUUUCAAUACCCCACAAGAACAGAAAGUCAAAAAAAGAUGGCUUCGUGACUCCUGUUUUGAAAUCUCAGUCCUCUGAAAAGGAAAAGACAGCAGAUAAGAAAUGCAAGAACAUGAAGGUACGGGCUGAAGUACAUGGUGAACAGAAAAUGAAGAGUGUCGGAGGGCAACGUGACUUGAAAAGAACGUCAGAAUCCCAUCCGGUCUCUUCUGACAGUGGGGGAGAGGUCCUUAAAUCUCAAAUGAGAAGCAGUACUCGUGUGGGAAAAUCGAAACCAGAUGAACUUAAGGGAUCUUCCAAGCAUAGAAAGAAGAUGUCCUAUCAAUCAAAAGCUGAACAGCUGAUGCUAUCUGGGUUGGACUCAGAAGCAUCUGAUGAAGAACAAAAGAUAAGAAGGGUGAUGGCAAGGGAAGAUUUGCCAGUGCCCUCAGCUGAGCAUCAGCAAGAGCAGAUGCUAUCGCCAAAAAGGAAUCUCACUCCUUGCAAGUACCAGCAGUCUGCUUUAAAAGCUUAUCAGCGUUCAGUUCACAGGAAACAAACUAAGCAAAAACUUGCAAAUGAUAAGGUGUUGAAGAUCCAAAGGAAGAAGCUGAAAAAAUCUGAAAAGAGAAAUGGUAAUAAAAAUCCUGAGCCACAGAGAUGGAAGAGUUCUGACAGUGAACCUGGUGAAGAAGGACUUGAAAGGGAGCCCUUAAAAUCAAGUGAAAUGUUUACCUCACCUCCGCAUCAGGAAUUACAGACUUCUGUGUUUCAGAAGUUGGCUAAGUCUGAAAAAGCUGAGAAAGUAUUGCACUCUUUGGAAACAGUUACUGGUGUAAAUAACAAAACUCCUUUAAAAGCUGCAGAGUUACUGCAGCAUCUCGUAGACAGUAAGAAGAAUUCUGAAAAGAAAAGAUCAUCAGCUACGUCUUCAGGGAAGAUGCUCAAAAAGAUUCAUCACAGAGCCCAUAAAAGAGCUUGCUCAAUCACGGGGGACACUGAGCCUCAAAAUACAACAGAUUCUGACAGCUCUUCUGCACAGGAGGUAGCAAGAAAAAAACACAAGCAAUCAGCUGUGGAAACAAGUCAAAAAAGAAAAAGUAACAGGCACGGGAGACUGCAACAUUCCACUGAAGCUGAGAAAGCUAUGGGUCUUGAAAGCGGGCUUGUUCUAGAACAUUCUGAGAAAUAUACUUCGCCAAGUAAGCACUGUGAAGAGAAUAAUGAAUCUUCAGAUAAUUCUGAAGACCUGCAUUGUCAAAUAAAAAAUCUACUGUCAGACGAGAUAGGCAGGCAAAAAAUAGUGCUGCCUUCCAACACGCCUAAUGUUCGUCGAACAAAAAGGAUACGACUUAAACCUCUGGAAUAUUGGCGAGGAGAGCGAGUGACCUAUACAUUGAAGCCUUCAGGAAGGCUUUUAAUUAGUGGAAUAGCAGGUGCAGAAGCAGAACCUCAAAUGAAGAAUAAGCCGAAGAGUCAUCAUAAGCAGAAAAGAGCUAGAACAAGAAGUGAGGUAGCGAAAUGUUUGGAUGUCCACCUGGCUGAUGCCUCUAAGCCAACCAGCAUAGUGGAUCCAGUAACAAAUCAAGAAGUUCUUCUAGAGUGUGUUAACUCUGGAAGCAGUCACUCAUGUUUCUUCGAAGAUGAAUCAAUAAAAGUAUAUAAAAGUUUGAAUACAUCUGAUUUUGCUGCUGGUAAAUUGAUCUUGAAACCUCUUAAAGAAAAGGGACACCAGUUUGUCCACAUGGAUACAAUAGCUUUCUAUGUUAUCCGUGGCCAGAUUAUUAUCACCUUGCAUAAGACAUCAUAUUACCUGACUUCAGGGGAUUAUUUCUAUGUUCCAGCAGGAAAUGGAUAUAAUGUACGUAAUCUUCUGAACGAGGAAAGUGUUCUUCAUUUCACACAACUCAAAAAUGACAGGGCUCCUGUGGGUGCUGAGUUGUGCAGUGUGGCAAAUGAGAACUGGUCAUUGGAAGGAAAAAGUUGAUGUUUCACCUCUGCUUGGUCUUGCUGUGGCUCCUGCUUCCUACAUUGCUGUACGAAUUGCAGGAAGCGUGUUGUCGGAGCCCUCUUCCCCCUAGGUUCACCUUCAGACUGAAGAUCAUCUAAUGGGAGGGAGUUCUAAAGAACACACUGUUAACUGCCAUCCAGGUAGAAAUAUGUCCCAGUACUGGAGCGUGUAGUUUCAUUGGUCUUAAGAGUAUUUUCCUCCUCUGUAAAUUGUAAAUAUGUGGUUUGUUACAAAUUAGUUUUUCCUUCUUGUCAAUAAAUGUUAAAUAAUACGAACCCAUUUUGAUUUCUUUGCCUUUCUAAAUCAUUUAAAAGUGAAUUUUCUGGUAGUUGAUGAAAGGUUGAAAUUGUGAGUAAUUGCGUGAAAAUGAGGAGCUUGACUUGUAAAUAAUGUAUGAUGUAUAACAUUGAGUGGUUACAAGAGCAUCAACAGUGAAUCUGUUAACUGUUUCAGUGGAGUUGCUCAAAUUUCUAAAAGAAGUUUGGAAGUUAAAUAUACCAAUUUGCCAGAUUGUCUUUGAAAAACAGUGUUCCUGACUGUGGCUUUGGUUCUGGUGUUACUGCCAUAGGUAUACAGGAGCUCCAGCUUAUAAUGUUGUAGGAUCUUUUAGUUUAGAGGUAAAUCAUGAACAGAACUGAACUCCUGCAUUGUCAUAAUCUUUUAGUGCUCUUGAGAUCUGAUGUUUGACAACUUGUCCACUAGUUUUAUAUUUGCCAGGAGUGUCAGCUUUUAGUUAGUUUGUUUGUUUGUUUUUUAAUCUCUUGGGAAUUUCAAUCUGCAUAGAUCUACUAUUAAUUCUACAGCAACUCACACAUUUUCUCAAAAAUAUUAAUGUCAGUAGCAAAAGUAGGUCUCUCUAGGAAAAGGUUUAAAAUCCAGUUUGGGCUCAAGUAUAUAGUGCAUGGCAUUGGCAGUUAGUGUGGGUUUUUGUGUUUGUUUGUUUAUAAUGCACUUUUGCCACAGCUCAACUUGCUGUUCUUAUUGUAAACUAAGUGUUGUAGGCUUGUCUGACAUUUAAAACUUUGGAGUUUGGAACAGUAUUAAAACCAUUCUGACAUUAUAGAAAAAAAUUUUGAGGGUGGGAGAGUGAGAAUAAAUGUUCUCCUGAGCAACAGUGACCUAUGCUAAAAAUGAUAGUGUACUGAGGUAUUUAAAUGCUAUGGGAAGAAAAAAGAAAAGAGCAAGAGGAAUUUUCCACUCUUGGAAUGUUCUGUUAACUCCCAUCAGCUAUGCCCUUACAACGCUCGUUAGCAUUUUGCCAGGAAGGGCCUCGUUGAAGACCAGACUUUGUACCUGCAGUUCUUGAAGCCAAUUACCUGUUUCAAUUCCAGGUAAUAUUUACAAUUAAAGCGAUGGAGAAUCAGGCUUUGGGUUAAGACCUCAGCCUACAUAAAACUCAUUCUGUAUUCUGCCGCUUUUGCCUGUCUGAGAAGUGUGUGCAUGUACCCACCAGCGUGGGAUGUGGGAAGGGGAUGCUGUGUUUGCACAAAGAGCUUAAAACUGAUUCAAGUGCUGUUUUGUUCUUUGGAGCUGCUGAUUAGUUUGCUUUGUUGAGUCCCUUGAGCAGGAAAUGAAUCUCAGGACUCUUCCCUCGGAUAUUCAGUCAGGGUCAUGCUCUCCUGUGCUUGUGGUCUAACACGAGGAAUCAUUACUGCUUUUCUUUUCCACAGUGUUGUAAGUAGGAGCGGAGAUGCCUUCAUCUGGAACAAUCCAUAACAUUGGGUUUCUUUUAAUUGGGUCAAAUCAAUGCAUCGGACAGAAACAAAGCAGUAACCACGUAUAUAACAUACUGCAUUUUGCUAAGCGGGAAGUAAUGCACCUUUUUCUUUGACUUACCUUAAACUUGAUGAAUCAAUCAGAACAUGUCCUUCCUGUACCUGUUAGACUCAAUCAUAACUAUGUAGAAGUUCUAGUGAAAUCUGUAAAUUGACUCAGCUUUAAUUUUUAGGUAGCAACAAGUCUUUGUCUUGUAUCUCUGUACUGAUUAUCUUUUUGGGGGAGGGAAGGAUUGUGGGGUGUCUUUUCAGUUUUUCCAGUGACCAGAAAUGAGAUCCAUGUCAGCGGAAGGUCCAAAAUGUUUCGUAAGUUUUAAGGUGCGAUUAACAGGUAAAGUGGACAAUUUGUAGGGCAAGAAAGAAGGUGAAGGGUAUAUUUCUUCUGCAUGUAGUAAAAUUCAACUUUUUAUCUUAGUGCAUGGAAACCAAAGUACAAGCUACUUGGAAUGCAUUUAUGGACAUAAAGGGAAAUCGUUCUUCAAGCAGUAACGCAUCUUCUUAAGCAACAGUGUACCGGUCUAAGGUAACAGUUUUGCUGCUGCUAAAUACUAAGACCAGUUUGUGCCUCAGACAGAGGAGUGACCAACUGCCUCAAUUGUGUACGCUAAACCCUUUUCAUCUCCCAGGCUGCAGCACGUGUGGCAGGUAAAUGCUAGACGUGAGAAUAUUAGGAAUUUGGGAAUAUCCAGAACUUAGAGUCCCCUGUCACAGCAGAAGUGACCUGAGAUUGCAGAAGAGCUCAGGGUCACAGUGGCGGUACCAGUGUCCAAAAUUAUCCCAAUCUGCUGGUUUGUGCUGCCACACAGAGGAAGGAGACAGGUUAUGCAGUGGUCUAGAGUGGUUACACUGUAGCUCAGUUCCAGGUACAGUAUAUAACUUAUUGGCACCAAAUGCACCACAAGCUAUAGAACUGUUGCCCUGUUAUUAUCUAAUUCUGAACAUUUGUGCCUUGAGAUGUGGUGGAUAUAAAAGCAAAUGCUUAUAUCCAGAGCUCCAGAGUUGCCUCAGAAGUUCUGCAUUGUCUGGUGGUGGCAGAAGAGGUUAUUAUAAGUCACACUUAUUGCAUGCUUUUGGCAGCUCAGGAUUGGUUUUGUCAUGUUAGUCUUUUGGUGCUUUUCAGUACUUGCAGGUACAAAGAUCCUUCUCUCCUGUGGGAAGCAAAUUGGUUAUGCUGGUAUGUGGUCUGCUGGUGUAGAACUAACUGCUUUCUCAUGUUAUUCUGCUGUUACUAAAAUAAAACUUUCUCCUCUGCAGAUAAGCAGUUUAAACUCA
Molecule: RNA transcript, 5748 nt
Organism: Tympanuchus pallidicinctus (lesser prairie-chicken)
Lineage: Eukaryota; Metazoa; Chordata; Aves; Galliformes; Phasianidae
Gene: CENPC
Gene name: centromere protein C
Exons: 19
Source: RefSeq, a predicted model, not a curated record